CCUACGGGUGGCUGCAGUGGGGAAUAUUGGACAAUGGGCGAAAGCCUGAUCCAGCCAUGCCGCGUGUGUGAAGAAGGCCUUCGGGUUGUAAAGCACUUUCAGUGGGGAAGAAAGCCUUGGGGCUAAUACCCUCGAGGAGGGACAUCACCCACAGAAGAAGCACCGGCUAACUCCGUGCCAGCAGCCGCGGUAAUACGGAGGGUGCGAGCGUUAAUCGGAAUUACUGGGCGUAAAGCGCGCGUAGGCGGUCUGAUAAGCCGGUUGUGAAAGCCCCGGGCUCAACCUGGGAACGGCAUCCGGAACUGUCAGGCUAGAGUGCAGGAGAGGAAGGUAGAAUUCCCGGUGUAGCGGUGAAAUGCGUAGAGAUCGGGAGGAAUACCAGUGGCGAAGGCGGCCUUCUGGACUGACACUGACGCUGAGGUGCGAAAGCGUGGGUAGCAAACAGGAUUAGAUACCCCGGUAGUC
RNAcentral lists this ribosomal RNA (465 nucleotides) under Vreelandella stevensii. RNAcentral describes it as "partial 16S ribosomal RNA". It matches the Rfam family "Bacterial small subunit ribosomal RNA", at positions 338 to 795 of the family's 1533-position model. The record is from RNAcentral. Lineage: Bacteria; Pseudomonadati; Pseudomonadota; Gammaproteobacteria; Oceanospirillales; Halomonadaceae.